CCAAUAGCGUAUAUUAAAGUUGUUGCAGUUAAAAAGCUCGUAGUUGAACUUCGGGAUCAAUUAGUUGGUCAUGCCUUGGUAUGUACUGAUUUUAUUGGUUCUCACCUUCUAAAGAACUAUAAUGUCAUUUAUUUGAUGUUAUAGGGAAUUAGGACUGUUACCUUGAAAAAAUUAGAGUGUUUAAAGCAGGCUCACGCUUGAAUACAUUAGCAUGGAAUAAUGAAAUAGUACAUCGCAUUCUAUUUUGUUGGUUUCUAGGAUCGAUGUAAUGAUUAAUAGGGAUAGUUGGGGGCAUUAGUAUUCAAUUGUCAGAGGUGAAAUUCUUGGAUUUAUUGAAGACUAACUACUGCGAAAGCAUUUGCCAAGGAUGUUUUCAUUAAUCAAGAACGAAAGUUAGGGGAUCGAAGACGAUCAGAUACCGUCGUAGUCUUAACCAUAAACUAUGCCGACUAGGGAUCGGAUGAUGUUGAUUUUUUAAUGACUCAUUCGGCACCUUACG
RNAcentral lists this unclassified non-coding RNA (499 nucleotides) under uncultured Glomeromycotina. RNAcentral describes it as "SSU rRNA". It matches the Rfam family "Eukaryotic small subunit ribosomal RNA", at positions 591 to 1092 of the family's 1831-position model. Lineage: Eukaryota; Fungi; Glomeromycota. The record is from RNAcentral.